CAAAAAUAACACUUAACCAUAUAAACAUUAUUUAGAUAGAAGCUGAUUAUGACUUUUAAAAAUUAUGGCCAUGAGUAGUAUUUGAUAUCUUUAAUAUAGUGCUUUACCAGAAUAGCAUUCUGAGUGAUAUAUGUCAAGAUAUAGGCUACUGUACUGUAUGUCCAGGUUACACAUUGCAUGCAGAACUGUAUCCUACCGAGGUUCCAUGUGGAAUACAGUAUGCCAGGCUCUGCACCCCUGUGGCCUAUAAGAAUAAGCCACGUUAGUUUCCCUAACAAAAAUAUUUAUCUUACAGUAGCUGUAUCCCUGACCACAUAUGAGGGGAAAAAACAUUACAUGGCUGUACUAAAUUACUAUGAAGUUUUCAAGCUUCCUCCAGCAGAUGGGACUACAGACGUGUUACCUACAGUAUGUAGCUUCCACAGUCUAACACAAGAUGGCAGUAGCACCACUUUGUGCCCUUCCUUACCGUACCUGGAACCUGUUGUCUCGCAUCUUUUUACACUGGACAGACCACCAACAAAUAGUAAACUUUGGAAGGUUUUUAUUGGCCAGUUGACGAUAAUGAUAUGCACACAGAAAAUAACUAGGUUCUGUUUUCAUGCAACUGCUUUCAUGAGGAUACAGUCAGUGUUGUUUGUAGGAGUUGGAAUGCAAGCACACCAGCAAGGCCUCGGCUAUGAUGACACCUCAUCAUAACUUAAAAACCUGCUGUUCUGAGGUGUGGUGGAUGUCCCUCAUGAUUGGCCCAAUGGGCCACAGCCCAGCAUCUGCUUAGUCCAGAUAACACCAACAAUCAGCCCAGAUCUACGUCUACAAAUCUACCAAGAGGGGAAACAGUCUGAAAUCCCUGUCUACAUCUGUGGCUAAGCGGACUCCAACAACUGUUGCUUGGAGAACUUUGCAUAACAAUCAUGAGGCUGCAGAAAGAAAAGCAGAGAAAAGAGGGUCUAGAUGGGCUGAGACCCAUGGUGCACGGAGAGGGCCAAGAAGCUGCCAGCGUCCCAGCCGCCCCAUGUCUGGGCUGGCACGGCAUUAAGCGGGCCGUUUAGAGGCCUGUCAAAAGCUCAUCACGGCGAGGAAGCCGUCUCCGUGGGGAUGCUGUGCGAGUGCCAGGGCACGGUAGGGGAGAGAAACCAGUCUUGCCCAGCAGCUUGGCCAUAAUGAGGAGGAAAAUUCCCAUUCUUGCAUCCAGAUUCAUGUAACAAUAACAAUCCGCUUUUGUCCAACUUUUCUUCUUUUUUUUUUUACUCAAUACCCUUUUCCCCCCUUUAAUUUCUGCUCAUCAGCUAUACCAAGUCCAUUAAUGAUGAUGGCUUAUAUUUUUUGUCUCUCACCUAUUUAUAUCUAGUGGAGUUAUGUUACGUGGUCACCUCCCAACACAUUACUCAAGUCCAGCCGCCUGGCUUAUUAGAGGAGUUCUACUGUAUCCUGGUGCAUGAGACUGCUAACUCUGACGUUGUGUAACAUCAUUACUUAGUUCAUGUGGUGUCUUAUAGUGGUACAAAGUGAGCAUGUUUCCAUUCAAAGUGACAGAUAGAACAUUGGUUGUUUCUGUAUAUUUGCUAGUAGCCUGGUAGUUGGCAUUAGAGAGGUUGUCAUGAGGCUCUGAUGACUGUGGAUGAUGUCAGUUAUGGCAGUCAAGAUGCAGAAUACCGGUUUUAAGUAAUAACUUCCUGGCUGGGGCAUUUAUAUGUGACGUCAAUCUAAAGUUGUCAGCAAAGAGGUGUGAUGAGUACAAUGUAAUUCUGUUUUUCAUUAUUUUCAUUAUUUUUUAACUGAAAUCAUGCCUCUUGAUUUGUGAACGCACCAAUUGACAAGCACCAUGAGUGUAAAUUAGCAGCAACUCAGGGAAUGGUGCCAGACAUUACAAAUUGAGAGCACUAACUUAAUUUAAAGGGUCAUGAAAUACAACCUCUGAAAUGUCAAAUAUCAUUUUUGC
Oncorhynchus tshawytscha (Chinook salmon) is the source of this 1942-nucleotide long non-coding RNA. Lineage: Eukaryota; Metazoa; Chordata; Actinopteri; Salmoniformes; Salmonidae. The record is from Ensembl.